GUAACCUUUCUGGGUUCACGGCAGUGUCCCCUGGCCUCCCACUAAUCGCCCUGUGGCCAGUACCUCCCACCCACCAAAGUCCUAGUUCCUGUGGGUUUCCAUUCCAACGUGAGAAACAGCAGAAGCUGGAGAGUCUAACAUCCAACACUGGGGCAGAGGGAGGCUCCUGGCGUCAGAGCUGGGGAGAGGAGUUUGGAGGUGUCAUUGAAGUUCUCCAUACGGCAACCAGGGAAAGAAACUUUUUCUAACUUCAAGUCUUUCUCCACCUGAGCCCCCUCACAUCCCUUCCUCCAUCCCGCACUUACACCUCGCACCUCCUCAGGGUGGGUGUGAGUUCCUGGAGCCUUCUCAGCCUGCAGGUACAACGGAUUGAGACAAGCUGUGUCUUCUGCUCCUCAGCACGGGAUCGAACUUGGGACCUUGUGCUUGCAAGGCAGGCGCCAGAACCACUGAGCUAAAUCCCCAGCCCAAAGAGUAGGUACUUUUUAAGAUUUCCAUAGACACUAAAUAUUGCUUCCCAAAGAACAUGUACCCAUCUCUAACGCAGCCACUAGAAUAUGAAGAUUGUGCCGGGCGUGGUGGCACACCUGUAAUCCUACCACUCAGGAGGCUGAGGCAGGAGGAUCACCAGGAGAUCAAGGCCAGCCUGGACUACAUAGGGAAAUCCUGUCACAGCCAAACAGACAAAAAUAUGAAGAUUGUUCCUCUGUCAUGAAUACCACCAAUCAACAAGCUCUGGGGAUUGAAUCGGGAUUUACACCCACUAGGCCAGCACUCUGCCACAAAGACUCAUCCCCAGCCCUUCCCUCCUGCUUGUUUCCUUGAUUCAUUGACCUUCAUUGAUCUUUGGAGGCCUUUAGACUUUUUUUUUGUUACUGGGCAUCAAACUCAGGACCUUGUGCUUGCCAGUCAGGGGGUGGAACCACUGAGCUAAAUCGCUG
Molecule: long non-coding RNA, 941 nt
Filed under: Heterocephalus glaber (naked mole-rat)
Lineage: Eukaryota; Metazoa; Chordata; Mammalia; Rodentia; Bathyergidae
Description: lncRNA (ENSHGLG00100047608.1)
Source: RNAcentral